This is a non-coding RNA of Podarcis lilfordi (Lilford's wall lizard), 70 nucleotides long. The record is from the annotation of a GenBank genome assembly. NCBI's taxonomy places the organism in Eukaryota, Metazoa, Chordata, Lepidosauria, Squamata, Lacertidae.
GAUUGGCUUAGUUGGGUAGAGCAUGGUGUUGAUAACACCAAGGUUGCAAGUUCAAUCCCCAUAUGGGACA